ACAGAGGACUGACAGCUCAAUUAUUUUAAGUAAAGCAGAGAAAUGUAAAAGUUUGCAGCAACUGGGCAGGUUUACAACAUGGUUAGUAACUUCCAACAAACAACAAAAUUAAAAAAAAAAAAAAAAAAGACUUGGUAGAAACCAUUUGAAAUGACUGCCAUCAUGUUGGAAAACAGCACAGCUCCCUUUUCACCAUUAUAGAGGGGUUAAAUUCCAAAGCUGAGUCAGCUACUUCAAAAGAAUUUUCUAAAGAGAAAUCUCCAGAGAGAUUCCAACUUGGAAUGCAAAUUUGACGAUCAAUUUCAAAUAACAAUACAGCUGCAGCUGCCAAUUAAUAGUAUUCCAGAAACAAAAAGGACUAUUGUAAAUAUUUAAUUAAUAAAAACUGGACACUACCAGCCAUGCUUUUUCUUCUCAGUGAUGGCUCCGUUUCAUCCAUAGGUCAGCAAAAUGAAUCAAUGAAACAUGAAAACUCCCAGCUGCAAUGGGCCCUCUUGUUUAUGUCUAGCCACUAAUGCACAGGAUGAGAAUGAUAAGUUCACAGCUAUUUCUAGCAAGUGAUGAGGUUUUAUUAAAGUAUCACCCACCACUAAUAAAGACUAAAGGUCAAGGAGCAGAAGUAACAAGCCAUUUCGUAAUAAAUACACAUCUGAGAAGUGACACUGACGUUUGUUUUAAAUUGCCCAUCUCGUUCUCAUUUAGUGGUCCUAGAGAAAUCUGGUACAUAAAUUUGCAGUAUUUCAUGAGGCCCAUUCUCACUGAUGGGCACUGUUCAGCUCUGAGAAGCAGAACUGAAAAGGGAAGCUAAUUCGUACUCAAAACGGACAUUUUUAAGACACAGCGACUUAGAAAUAUCCACAAGGGACCACACCGGUGCCUUCAUGGGGCAGCACUCAACAAGAACUGGGACAAUCGAAGAGCAAGUUUUUAUGGGGACCCUGUUGCUGCUUUAGAUUCUGAUGUAAUUGAAGAGGAAAAGAGACCUUUCAAUGAAUCCCAGAAAAAUCGCUAAUCUUCUAUCUGCAUGAAAAAAGCCAGGGAAGUGAACACAAUAUCUUACAGAGUGAAGAAGGCCACAAGAACAAGAGAGGGUGAUUGAUCGAUUAAUUUAUUCUCUUUUAAAACUUGGAAAUUAGGAAACUAAAAUAAUCACAUUCCUCCUUCCCCAUCUCUGGGUAGUGCCAUCAUCUGAAUAAGCAAUGCUCAGAUAACAGAAUGUACCUUUAUCAUGGGGAGGCCCUUGGACAGCAGUACAAAGGGCUUACAAAGUGAGCAGACUGGCUCAAGCUAACAAUUGCCUUUGCUUUGUUUUAGCAGUUUCCUUACAAAUGAAUGGGUUUCGAGGGCUAAGUUAUUAUUAGUUUUCAAUUCCUUGUAAUUUGAUACCAAAACAUAUCAAAAAUAAUAAGCUAAAACAAUAUUCAAACCCAUAUUUUAUUGGCUUUAAUUACACACUUCAGUAUUUACAAAGUUAAAGUUUAAAUGAAAAGUCUCUAUUGUACUGUAUUAAAAAAAAUAACUACAGCCCAAAUUCAAGUGCCCUGGGGCAAAUACAUAUCAAUCAGAGCUAAGAAUCAGUGACUGCGUCAGGAACCAGGCAGUACUCUGUGUUACAACAAAGCAGUUUAUUUGUGAUCAGUGUUUGAGACUCUAUACAUCCUUCACAAAUUUAAUUUUACAUAAUCUGAUACUCCUCUUAAAACUUAAACUUUGAACUGCUAGACUUAUUUCCCUAGAACAGAAGGGCUGGUAUAAGUUAUUUUCCGGAAAUGAGGUACCGUUUCACAGAACUAGUUUCUUUUUUGUUUUCAAGUUUUAGAGAACUAAAUUUGCAUUUGUUAAAAUCAAAAAGUAGGAAAGAUGUUCUUUACAAAUAAUUUUGAUCAAGUAUGUGUUCAAAGAAAGCAGGAUAAAAAGGCUUUUUUCUCUAACAUUCUGUAUUGUACUGUAUUUGUUGUUCAAUAGGAAUUAGCUUCUGUCAUUUGCUAAAAGAAUGAGUAGUGGGGAACAGGAUAUGUUGGGAAUUUCAUAACGGGUAACAGAACCAUUCUCUUGGGUAAACCUACAGAGAAAAGAAACGGAGAGGACUCCAAAUAAGUUUAAUAAUCCAAUAAAAAUUUCAGGUUAAAAAAUAUCUUACAGUAAUUAUCGUUAACCUUUUCCAGAUUAGUCAGUCAACAUGAACCAUCUGGGAGGAGACCCACAAACCUCUCAACAGAUCUCCUGUUUUGAAAUUGCUCCUAAUAUUGUGAUCGUUAGUUAUUUUCCACUCAAAAUUAAGAGGGCUACAUCCUAGGAAGAAUGAUAUUCAGAAGGCAAUUUCAUUUGAGUGAGCAGCCAUGAGUUCCAAAGAUCAAAAGCAGUGCUACUGAUUAAUAUUCCAGAGGGACUCCAGAAAUCCAGAAUCGUUUUCAAUUUGGCACAUCACAUAUUACAGGAGAAACAGGGAUGGCUGUCAGUCAAGACCCAAAGCACAGCUUUCCGUGCAGGCCUCCGCUCCCCAGAGAGACCGCUCCACCUGGAGUCACGACCAGGUACUUACUUUCUUAAUGGCUACUGCCGAUAUUGGCGUGGCAAAUCUGGAAAGAUUAACUACUUUCUUAAUUUUGUAAUGAACGAGUUCUUGUGGCCUCACAAACUUCUGCAUACUCAAGCAUGAUUUGAAAUCUGCUAUUUCUAGUCUAAUAUUUAACCUAUGGUGAAAUCACAAAGCAGCAACAGCAGGUAUUCAAGAGCACCAGAUGAUCAGAGGGAAAUUACCCCACAUGCAACAGCUUUACAAAGGCCAAAAGACAUAUUUACCUUACAGCCAAAAUAAAGCAUUGUUUUAGUAGGUUGGCAUCACAGUAACAUUUAAAAACCAAAUCUUUUAUGUGAAAAAUGGGGGCAUCAAAUUUCACCAGCUUUGGAAGUCAGUUAUAUGGCACAUGGAAGAGAGGAGCCUUCUGAAGUGGGGCUCAGAGGCCACAGGGUGAAAGUAUAAUGUUAGAGGAAAGGGAGGAACAAGAGAGAAAAAUUAAAGACUGAGGAAAAACAGGAAUGCAGCUUAAAGCCUAGACAAACCAGUGUUUCAAGGAGAAAAAUUAAGCUCUAGCAAACCUGUACUGAAGAACGUGAGACUUCACUUUGUCUAAAAGAAAGACACAGACUUAACAACCCACCCCAGCAGGCGGGUGCUCUGCCGCUCACGCAAGCCAUAGCACGAUGGAGCAGUGAGUCAAGAUGCAUUUGGAUAAACUGCCCAGACCUAAUUCACAGGAGGGAUGAGGUGGCCAGGAUACCCACAAGGUGGCUGAAUGGGAAAAGCAAAUGGCCAAAACCACAAGGAACUAGAGAAUUUGAAUUUAGAAGCAAUUCUGGGUGAAAACAUUUUCUUGAAUAAGUUCUCACUUCCCAAUCACCCCACAUCAGGGACGUGGGGAAUCUGGGGAAGCCCUGACCAUACUGGAGUGUUCCAGAGGAAACAUUCCGGUAGAGGAGGAAACCCCAGACUGGGCACUUUGCUGUAGAGAAAACUCACCCCAAACAUUUGACACUUGCAGCUUCUCCACAUCUUUCCAGGAUAGAAAUAGUCUAUCUUAAAGGGGAAAGUCGUAAAACUGUUCAUUUUCUACUUAUUUUUUACAGUUAGGACAUCAGAUGAAGCUUCAAUUUAGCAGUGUCGUAAGGACCCAUAAUUUUCAUCUGAACAAAGAUGGAAAAGCUGACGCAUGAAGAGAGAAAGCAUAAUGAAGGGUCCUGAGACUCGUGUGGAGGGCUGACGCCACAAGCAGUGGGACAGUCCACGUCCUUCCCUGCUGUGCGCGUGCACAUCCAGCCUGAGGUCGCACCAACACGUGCUCACGCGUGCACGCACACACGCUCGCGCCACGCUCUCUCACGCGCACGCACACCCGUGCUCUCUUCUUCUCGCGGUGGCAGACAUCCUGCAGAUGGCGGACCCACAACAUGUAGCGCCUCAGGGAAAAGGUCUAAGAGGGCAUAUCACUGACUCCAAACCUACUGCCUCCAUUGCCACAUAAACCUCAUUCAAAAGUUAUCCAAAGGGCCACUGAGUUUCAUUUCUGCAUUUACUUUUAUUUUACUUUCUUAUUUUUGGAGGGAGAGGAGACAAUCCUAUGAUUCUGUAACACGUACCACAGACUGUCUGCAGUCAGCACUUCAGUAACGCUGCUGGUGAGAGCCCACUGCCACGCUGGGGCUCAUUUACGCCACCUCUAAAGCAAAGUUUGCGGAAAAGGACGAUAGCCACAAAUUUGAAGUGAACAUUUCCUAACCCUAACUCAAGUCACCCACACGGUUUCAAGCCAGAAACUUCAAUGCAGCCAUGUAACCGGCGAGCAGUCAAGCCAGAAACCGGGUUUGGCCCUUCAGUAGCCUUUGAAUGGAGUAUAAGUUGGCUGUAAGAAGAACUACUUAAAAUAUUUAAUUUCCAUAUGGUCAGAAACAGGCAAUUAGAACAGGCAGUCCUUCAAUCAGGCAAAGCGGAGAGAAGAGCAACUCCAACCAAACCAAGAACCACAAGGUUGUGGCAUUUUCAAAGGGAAUUUAAGUUGGGUCACUAGAAUGAAUACGUCUGAGAUCCUCCAAUUCAUUGAAAGAAACCCUGGAUACAAACUGUGCUCUAGAUUGCUGUGACAGCACUGCUAAGAGGAGAAAUCAGAAACAUGGCAUACAUACCAUAGGCAGGGGCAGCGGUGCUGUAACCAUACGGUGCUCCGUAGCCUGGUACAAAGAGAAGAAAGCAGAUCAGUCCAGAGCAAAGGGCACUCAACCGGUCCUGGCCCAGUUCACAAGGACUGCCUGGCCCGGCAUCUUGGGGCCUGAGGACUUCUAGAUGCUGGAUGAACGAGAGCCAUUCCCACAGUGGCCACACCCUCCGUUCCUGCUUACCGUGAAAGAUUUCUCGCACGACCUACAAGGUUCUCCUAACCCACCAGAAUAGUCUUUCUCCUUGCACUUACCACGCUGUGUUACAAUUAUCGACUCCGUGUCUGUGUCCCCCACUAGGGUGACAGACACCAAGUCUGACACCUUUGCAUCACCACAACUUGGCAGAAGGUCUGUCACAUAAUAACCACUCCCGACAUAUACUUUGUUGAACAAAGAACACGGAGAAUCACUCAAAUUACUAAUUUCUUUAAAGUUGGAAAACAGAACUUUCCAGGUUUCUUCAGAAGGCAGUGCCACAACAGGCUAAAGCCUCAACUGGUGCUAAAAAUGGGCAUGUGGAUCAGGUUGUGAGCUUGGGGACAAGGUCCAUGUCUCCUGAUAAUCUGAAUUCCUGGCCCCAGCACAGAGGCUCUCAGUAAAUGUUGGCAAAACUAACAUUAGCAUCUGGUGCCUAUGGAAAAGGCUCACACUGUCAAUAAAAACCAGUCUAAAGAACA
Molecule: long non-coding RNA, 5390 nt
Organism: Herpailurus yagouaroundi (jaguarundi)
Lineage: Eukaryota; Metazoa; Chordata; Mammalia; Carnivora; Felidae
Exons: 2
Source: RefSeq, a predicted model, not a curated record